This 419-nucleotide ribosomal RNA is filed under the name bacterium. RNAcentral describes it as "partial 16S ribosomal RNA". It matches the Rfam family "Bacterial small subunit ribosomal RNA", at positions 355 to 776 of the family's 1533-position model. The record is from RNAcentral.
UGGGGGAUAUUGCACAAUGGGCGAAAGCCUGAUGCAGCGACGCCGCGUGGGGGAUGAAGGCCUUCGGGUUGUAAACUUCUUUUGCUCUGAACAAGGCAUGCUAAUGGGUGUGUUGAGUGUAGGGGUUGAUUAGCGCCGGCUAACUACGUGCCAGCAGCCGCGGUAAUACGUAGGGCGCGAGCGUUGUCCGGAAUUAUUGGGCGUAAAGGGCUUGUAGGUGGCUGGUUGCGUCUGUCGUGAAAGCUCAUGGCUUAACUGUGGGUUUGCGGUGGGUACGGGCUGGCUUGAGUUCAGUAGGGGAGGCUGGAAUUCCUGGUGUAGCGGUGGAAUGCGCAGGUAUCAGGAGGAAUACCGGUGGCGAAGGCGGGUCUCUGGGCUGUUACUGACACUGAGGAGCGAAAGCAUGGGGAGCGAACAGG